This 270-nucleotide long non-coding RNA is filed under the name Medicago truncatula (barrel medic). RNAcentral's name for it is "lncRNA gene5469". The stretch from base 1 to 117 matches the Rfam family "U5 spliceosomal RNA". The record is from RNAcentral. Lineage: Eukaryota; Viridiplantae; Streptophyta; Magnoliopsida; Fabales; Fabaceae.
AGCCGUGUGUUGAUGACAUAGCGAACUAUUCUUUCGCCUUUUACUAAAGAAUACCGUGUCAGCGUCACAUUUAGCGGCAUACGCUAGUUUUUGGAAGAGUCUUCUUUUUGGAGGGCUCUGCAAUAUAGUUAAAAUUUUUUCCUUUUUUUACUUAGUAAUUGAGUGACCUACUAAGGCAUUUUAUAAUGUUUAAUAAAAUAAAAAUACAUUAAAGAAUAUAACGGUCUUAAUUAAUUUGUUUGCUUCUUCAUAAGAUAUUGAUUAGUUAUA